AACGCGAAGAACCUUACCUGGGCUCGAACGGCUUAAGACAGGGGUGGAAACACCCUCUCCCCUUAAAAGGCUUGAGUCGAGGUGCUGCAUGGCUGUCGUCAGCUCGUGUCGUGAGAUGUUGGGUUAAGUCCCGCAACGAGCGCAACCCUUGUCCUGUGUUGGCAUGCCCGCAAGGGCGCAACUCUCAGGAGACCGCCAGCGAUAAGUUGGAGGAAGGUGGGGAUGACGUCAAGUCAUCAUGGCCUUUAUGUCCAGGGCUACACACGUGCUACAAUGGGCGGUACAAAGCGCUGCAAACCCGCGAGGGGGAGCUAAUCGCAAAAAACCGUUCUCAGUUCGGAUCGCAGGCUGCAACUCGCCUGCGUGAAGCUGGAAUCGCUAGUAAUGGCAUAUCAGAACGAUGCCGUGAAUACGUUCCCGGGCCUUGUACACACCGUACGUC
Molecule: ribosomal RNA, 442 nt
Filed under: uncultured bacterium
Lineage: Bacteria
Description: bacterial SSU rRNA
Rfam family: Bacterial small subunit ribosomal RNA
Source: RNAcentral